AGCAGAAGAGUCUGGUGGAGCAACAGAGGAACAAUUUCAGCCAUUUGGACUCAACUCAGCCACUAUAGAGGAAAUGAUGACUUCAACACAGAAGGACCAACAUGGAGCGAGAAGUCAGCGCUCUCAGGAGGCCAAAAAACCUCACAGAAGAAAGGGAGAGAAAACCUACAGCUGUGAUGAGUGUGGGAAGGACUUUACCCGGGGUGGAGACUU
Long non-coding RNA from Oreochromis aureus, 213 nucleotides. RefSeq lists it as uncharacterized. Lineage: Eukaryota; Metazoa; Chordata; Actinopteri; Cichliformes; Cichlidae. The transcript is spliced from 2 exons. The record is from RefSeq and is a predicted model, not a curated record.